Molecule: ribosomal RNA, 611 nt
Filed under: uncultured bacterium
Lineage: Bacteria
Description: bacterial SSU rRNA
Rfam family: Bacterial small subunit ribosomal RNA
Source: RNAcentral
CAGAGGAAACUUUGAAUAAUACCGCAUAAAACAGGGGUCCGGCAUCGGAAUAUUUGUUAAAGGUGGCGACACGGUGAACGAUGGGCAUGCGUUCGAUUAGAUAGUUGGAGAGGUAACGGCUCACCAAGUCUACGAUCGAUAGGGGGUCCGAGAGGAUUAUCCCCCACACUGGUACUGAGAUACGGACCAGACUCCUACGGGAGGCAGCAGUGAGGAAUAUUGGGCAAUGGGCGAAAGCCUGACCCAGCCAUGCCGCGUGCAGGAAGACGGCCCUAUGGGUUGUAAACUGCUUUUACUCGGGAAGAAUAAGGGUUACGUGUAACCCGAUGACGGUACCGAAAGAAUAAGCAUCGGCCAACUCCGUGCCAGCAGCCGCGGUAAUACGGAGGAUGCGAGCGUUAUCCGGAAUUAUUGGGUUUAAAGGGUCCGCAGGCGGACAGGUAAGUCAGUAGUGAAAAACCGGGGCUUAACCCCGGUCGUGCUACAGAAACUGCCUGACUAGAGAAAGUUUGGCGUUGGCGGAAAUGUGACAAGUAGCGGUGAAAUGCAUAGAUAUGUCACAGAACACCGAUAGCGAAAGCAGCUGACGAAGACUAUUCUGACGCUCAGGG